Molecule: ribosomal RNA, 1159 nt
Filed under: Zygiella atrica
Lineage: Eukaryota; Metazoa; Arthropoda; Arachnida; Araneae; Araneidae
Description: SSU rRNA
Rfam family: Eukaryotic small subunit ribosomal RNA
Source: RNAcentral
AAAAGCUCGUAGUUGGAUCUCAGCUCGAGACGGAUGGUCCGCCUACCGGUGGUUACUGUCUGUUCUCAGCAUUCAGCCGGUUUCUCUUGAUGAUCUUCACCGGUUGUCUUGGGUGACCGGCAAGUUUACUUUGAAAAAAUUAGAGUGCUCAAAGCAGGCGUGAAAGCCUGAAUAAUGGUGCAUGGAAUAAUGGAAUAGGACCUCGGUUCUAUUUUGUUGGUUUUCGGAACACGAGGUAAUGAUUAAGAGGGACAGACGGGGGCAUUCGUAUUGCGACGCUAGAGGUGAAAUUCUUGGACCGUCGCAAGACGAACUACUGCGAAAGCAUUUGCCAAGAAUGUUUCCAUUAAUCAAGAACGAAAGUUAGAGGUUCGAAGGCGAUCAGAUACCGCCCUAGUUCUAACCAUAAACGAUGCCAGCCAGCGAUCCGGCUGUGUUCCUCAAAUGACACGCCGGGCAGCUUCCGGGAAACCAAAGCUUUUGGGUUCCGGGGGAAGUAUGGUUGCAAAGCUGAAACUUAAAGGAAUUGACGGAAGGGCACCACCAGAAAUGGAGCCUGCGGCUUAAUUUGACUCAACACGCGAAAACUUACCCGACCCGGACACAGGAAGGAUUGACAGAUUAAGAGCUCUUUCUUGAUUCUGUGGGUGGUGGUGCAUGGCCGUUCUUAGUUGGUGGGGCGACUUGUCUGGUUAAUUCCGAUAACGAACGAGACUCUAGCCUACUAAAUAGACGCUCCGAUCCUUCGAGUCGGACGUUCUUCUUAGAGGGACAAGCGGCGUUUAGCCGCACGAAACAGAGCAAUAACAGGUCUGGGAUGCCCUUAGAUGUCCGGGGCCGCACGCGCGCUACAUUGAAGGAAUCAGCGUGUGCUCUCCCUAUCCGACAGGAUUGGGUAACCCGUUGAACCUCCUUCGUGCUGGGGAUAGGAGAUUGUAAUUGUCCUCCUUGAACGAGGAAUUCCCAGUAAGCACAAGUCAUAAGCUUGUGUUGAUUACGUCCCUGCCCUUUGUCCACACCGCCCGUCGCUACUACCGAUUGAAUGAUUUAGUGAGGUCUUCGGACUGGCGCUCGGAUUGGCCUUCGGGUCGAGCCGAAGUGCCGGAAAGAUGACCAAACUUGAUCAUUUAGAGGAAGUAAAAGUCGUAACAAGGUUUCC